Molecule: ribosomal RNA, 131 nt
Filed under: Forficula auricularia (European earwig)
Lineage: Eukaryota; Metazoa; Arthropoda; Insecta; Dermaptera; Forficulidae
Description: partial 28S ribosomal RNA
Source: RNAcentral
ACAGCCGUUGCACACGAGUAAGUAGUCGAUCCUAAGCCCUAAGAGAAAUCUUAUGUUGAUGUGAAGUACAUUUUUUUUUAUAAUUAUAAUAAAAUAAUUCUACUUCCAUUUGGGCGAAAGGGAAUCUGGUU